UACGAAGGGGGCUAGCGUUGCUCGGAAUUACUGGGCGUAAAGGGCGCGUAGGCGGCCGUUCAAGUCGGAGGUGAAAUCCCAAGGCUCAACCUUGGAAUUGCCUUCGAUACUGGAUGGCUAGAGACCGGAAGAGGUAAGUGGAACUGCGAGUGUAGAGGUGAAAUUCGUAGAUAUUCGCAAGAACACCAGUGGCGAAGGCGGCUUACUGGUCCGGUUCUGACGCUGAGGCGCGAAAGCGUGGGGAGCAAACAGG
Molecule: ribosomal RNA, 253 nt
Filed under: uncultured prokaryote
Description: partial 16S ribosomal RNA
Rfam family: Bacterial small subunit ribosomal RNA
Source: RNAcentral